This 398-nucleotide long non-coding RNA is filed under the name Ananas comosus (pineapple). RNAcentral's name for it is "long non-coding RNA (ACOM_LNC038894)". The record is from RNAcentral. Lineage: Eukaryota; Viridiplantae; Streptophyta; Magnoliopsida; Poales; Bromeliaceae.
UGAAAAUCUGCUGUUUUGCAGAAUUUGAUUCUUUAGCUCUCGAAAACCUUCCACAACACACUUUUGAUCGUUUUAACAUCUUCGGACUUUCCGAAGUGUACCAUCCUCGCACUUUGGUCAAUUUGACUAAAGUUCGAUAUUUNAAUCUGCUGUUUUGCAGAAUUUGAUUCUUUAGCUCUCGAAAACCUUCCACAACACACUUUUGAUCGUUUUAACAUCUUCGGACUUUCCGAAGUGUACCAUCCUCGCACUUUGGUCAAUUUGACUAAAGUUCGAUAUUUAUUUUUCGAAUUUUCGGUAUAUUACACUUACUAUUCUUUGUGAUAACACAAGUGCAAUUAAUAUUUCUAAAAACCCUGUUUUACAUUCUCGAACAAAACAUAUUGAACUUAGAUAUC